Molecule: transfer RNA, 74 nt
Filed under: Phycisphaerae bacterium
Lineage: Bacteria; Pseudomonadati; Planctomycetota; Phycisphaerae
Description: tRNA-Val
Rfam family: tRNA
About the family: Transfer RNA (tRNA) molecules are approximately 80 nucleotides in length. Their secondary structure includes four short double-helical elements and three loops (D, anti-codon, and T loops). Further hydrogen bonds mediate the characteristic L-shaped molecular structure. tRNAs have two regions of fundamental functional importance: the anti-codon, which is responsible for specific mRNA codon recognition, and the 3' end, to which the tRNAs corresponding amino acid is attached (by aminoacyl-tRNA synthetases). tRNAs cope with the degeneracy of the genetic code in two manners: having more than one tRNA (with a specific anti-codon) for a particular amino acid; and 'wobble' base-pairing, i.e. permitting non-standard base-pairing at the 3rd anti-codon position.
Source: RNAcentral
GGGCGGUUAGCUCAGUUGGCUAGAGCGCCUGCCUUACAAGCAGGAUGUCGGGGGUUCAAGUCCCUCACCGCCCA